This 484-nucleotide ribosomal RNA is filed under the name uncultured bacterium. Its description in RNAcentral is "partial 16S ribosomal RNA". It matches the Rfam family "Bacterial small subunit ribosomal RNA", at positions 899 to 1397 of the family's 1533-position model. The record is from RNAcentral.
ACUCAAAGGAAUAGACGGGGACCCGCACAAGCAGUGGAGCAUGUGGUUUAAUUCGAUGGUAAACGAGGAACCUUACCUGGGCUCAACUACUAGCUGCAUAUCGUCAGAAAUGACUUUAGCCUUCGAGGGUGCUAGAUAGGUGCUGCAUGGUUGCCGUCAGCUCGUGCCGUGAGGUGUACCGUUAAGUCGGGAAACGAGCGCAACCCACGUCGUGUGUUAAAUUUACACGCGAGACUGCCCGCGCAAGCGGGAGGAAGGAGUGGACGACGUCAAAUCAGCAUGGCUCUUACGUCCAGGGCUACACACAUGCUACAAUGGCCAGUACAAUGGGUUGCCAAACCGCAAGGUGGAGCUAAUCCCAUCAAAACUGGUCUCAGUUCGGAUUGAAGGCUGCAACUCGCCUUCAUGAAGUUGGAAUUGCUAGUAAACGCGUAUCAGCCACGGCGCGUUGAAUACGUUCUCGGGUCUUGUACACACCGCCCGU